RNAcentral lists this unclassified non-coding RNA (298 nucleotides) under plant metagenome. RNAcentral describes it as "partial contains 5.8S ribosomal RNA, internal transcribed spacer 2, and large subunit ribosomal RNA". The stretch from base 1 to 105 matches the Rfam family "5.8S ribosomal RNA", at positions 50 to 154 of the family's 154-position model. The record is from RNAcentral.
GAAAUGCGAUAAGUAAUGUGAAAUGCAGAAUUCAGUGAAUCAUCGAAUCUUUGAACGCACAUUGCGCCCCCUGGUAUUCCGGGGGGCAUGCCUGUUCGAGCGUCAUUUCACCACUCAAGCCUCGCUUGGUAUUGGGCAACGCGGUCCGCCGCGUGCCUCAAAUCGACCGGCUGGGUCUUCUGUCCCCUAAGCGUUGUGGAAACUAUUCGCUAAAGGGUGUUCGGGAGGCUACGCCGUAAAACAACCCCAUUUCUAAGGUUGACCUCGGAUCAGGUAGGGAUACCCGCUGAACUUAAGC